CAGCCGCCGCGGGAAUACGUAGGUGGCAAGCGUUGUCCGGAUUUAUUGGGCGUAAAGCGAGCGCAGGCGGUCAAUUAAGUCUGAUGUGAAAGCCCCCGGCUCAACCGGGGAGGGUCAUUGGAAACUGGGAAACUUGAGUGCAGAAGAGGAGAGUGGAAUUCCACGUGUAACGGUGAAAUGCGUAGAGAUGUGGAGGAACACCAGUGGCGAAGGCGACUCUCUGGUCUGUAACUGACGCUGAGGAGCGAAAGCGUGAGGAGCGAACAGGAUUAGAUACCCCAGUAGUCCCUGUCUCUUAUAC
RNAcentral lists this ribosomal RNA (301 nucleotides) under uncultured bacterium. Its description in RNAcentral is "partial 16S ribosomal RNA". It matches the Rfam family "Bacterial small subunit ribosomal RNA", at positions 509 to 807 of the family's 1533-position model. The record is from RNAcentral.